CACCUCUAGCAUAAUAAGUAUUAGAGGCACCGCCUGCCCAGUGACUCACGUUAAACGGCCGCGGUAUCCUGACCGUGCAAAGGUAGCAUAAUCAUUUGUUUCUUAAUUAGGGACUUGUAUGAAUGGCAUCACGAGGGCUUAACUGUCUCUUAUAGCUAAUCCAUGAAAUUGACCUUUCCGUGAAGAGGCGGAAAUUUUAUAAUAAGACGAGAAGACCCUAUGGAGCUUAAAUAAAUUGCUCUUCUACUAACUCUCUACCCCUUAGGGGAUAAAUCAACAUGGACUAGAGCAAUAAAUUUUGGUUGGGGUGACCUCGGAGAAUAAAAAAUCCUCCGAAAGACUAAAAUUCAGACUAACCAGUCUAUAUUAAUUAACGUCAUAAUUGACCCAGAGUAAUCUGAUCAAUGGACCAAGUUACCCUAGGGAUAACAGCGCAAUCCCAUUUGAGAGUCCAUAUCGACAAUGGGGUUUACGACCUCGAUGUUGGAUCAGGACAUCCUAAUGGUGCAGCAGCUAUUAAGGGUUCGUUUGUUCAACGAUUAAAGUCCU
This 549-nucleotide ribosomal RNA is filed under the name Chaetodipus baileyi. Its description in RNAcentral is "partial 16S ribosomal RNA". It matches the Rfam family "Bacterial large subunit ribosomal RNA", at positions 1816 to 2597 of the family's 2925-position model. Lineage: Eukaryota; Metazoa; Chordata; Mammalia; Rodentia; Heteromyidae. The record is from RNAcentral.